GGGGAAACAUAUGAUAUUUUGUUAGGUUGGAAGUUGGUUAACUUAAGUAACUUAGGGUUUGGAAUAAAAGACCUAGGUAUUAUACCUAUACCUCCCGAUUUCCGGUUGAUUGUGGCUCGAAUCGCCGUUCCAUCUCUACUCAUCACCUUCGCUGUUGUCGAUCAGCUCUCCACCAAGCUCAGGUUUCCGAUCAAGCACCAAAAGAUCUCGAUGGAGUUGCGAUUGGAUGUGGAGUCCCUUGACCACCACACCGGCGGCACGACUACAGCUAGGGCGGGGGCUCUGACAGAGGAACGAGGAAAGGAAGGCAAGUACUCUGCAAUAUGAUGGUAUGAGAUCUGCAAGGUAGAGGAUAGGAGCUUGGAAGAGUUGAUAUGUUCACCGAUUAUGUUCAACAGGUUGAUUGAGAUGCGAUUUGGUGCUUCUGUGUUAUCUCAAUUUCAUCUCAUGAUUUUCAUGAUUUCUGCAAAAGAUGAGAACAUCUUUGAUGGGGUUUGAGUUGUACUGGUUUUCCUCUCGUGAAUUGAGUUCUGAUUUGAGUUCUUUGGUUUUGAGUUGCGAAUUGGUUCUUCCGAUGGUGCUCAUGUCUCCGAUUAAGAAUUCUGUGAGAUUCUGGUUUUGAAAGUGAGUUGUCACAAAGUUUUGCUAUGAUUUGUGAUUGACAUGAGCUUCAAAGUGGUUUCCUCUUGUCGAUCUGAUCCUGCGAUCCGGUUUCUGGUAGCCUUGGUUAGUUUUCUUUAUGCCACUGGAAGCUUUGGAACAAUUCGUUUGGAUUUCUGUAGAGUUAGUUGAUGACCUAGCUAUAUUCCGUUUGGAUUCAGUGAACAUUGUUUGGAACUGGAAUUUGAUAUGGAAUUUUAUCUCUCGAGAUUGUUCCGAGGAUAGUGAAUUUUGUUUAGGUUGUAUCUAUUUGUUUAUACUUUCUGUUAUUGUACAGUUUUGAUUUGUGAGUUAUUAGAUGACCAUGGAAUUCAAUGAGAUUUGUUUUGUUAUGCGGAUAAGGUUGAUUUGUUGGGAGUUAACUUUGGUGUGGUUUUGAUUCAUGGGGAGUUAAUUUUGAUUGUGAUUUUGGUUUCUUACGAGUCAGCUGCGUUUUUUUAUGGAAGGAUUUAGUAGACUAUGAGCUUUCUUUGGAGGUUUGAACGUGGAUUUGUGCUGUGGUUGUUCCUGUUGCUGUGAGAAAUUUGUGUUUUACAGCGGUCUUUUGAAAUGGGCGAUGGCUUUGGGAUUUUCUAUUGGGUUGGUAGGUGUAAACACGGAUUCAAAGUUGGUUCUUCUUUCUUCUGAUGUUUUCAUUGGUGUGCUGGAAUUCCAUAUCAGAUUCGUUAAAGGUAUUGAUUCGAGAUUUUUUUUAUUUUUAUUUUUAUUUUGUUGCUUUGUUGCUAGAAGAAUAGACAAGUAUGGACUGUAGGAAGUGAUAUGUUUAAGGAAUGACUGAAGUAUACAAAUGUUAUGAAACGAAUAUAGAAAGAAUGACUGGAAUAUGCUAUGAAAUGAAUGACUGGAAUUUACUAUGAUAUAUUAACUAUGUAGCUAAUUGGAUGUGUAUGAGCAUAUGUGGUAGCAGUACGGGAUGGGUGACCCGGGAUGAGCUCCGGGGAGGGCCCAUCCAAACUUGACUGAUAUGGUUAGCUUCGGCUAUAUGACUGGAUGCAUGUUCUCUACGAGGUACCUCUAGGUUCAUGGGACUGUUGAUUGGGCUCUAAAUUGUGGUUACCGGAUAUGUGACAUAUUCACCUUAUUAGCUACGUAGGAACACUGUUGCAUGAUAUAUCUUUCUUAUGUCGUACUUGGUUGUGCUAUGUUUUCUUAAAAAGGCUUCCAGUUGCUAUUUCUACUACCUUAUGGAUAUCUUCAUACUCAUAUUGGUCUGUACUUGCUGGGUCGUAGACUCACCACAUUUAUAUUACAGGUGAGGAUGACUUUCAGGAUAUGCCAGAAGGCCCACGGACGAGUAGACGAGGAGGCGGGAUGGACGCAUGGUACUGUCCGUUGUCCGAGAGGGCAGUGCAUACUGGAUCUACCAAGAGAGAUUUUCAUUUCUUAGUCACUCGGGUGGGGAAUGUUGAGGAGUUAUUGUUCUUAUCGAUAAACAUUUGUUGAUACAAUCUUGUCUAUUGGUUAUGAUAGUUCCUUUAUGGUUCGGCAA
Long non-coding RNA from Zingiber officinale, 2149 nucleotides. RefSeq lists it as uncharacterized. NCBI's taxonomy places the organism in Eukaryota, Viridiplantae, Streptophyta, Magnoliopsida, Zingiberales, Zingiberaceae. The transcript is spliced from 2 exons. The record is from RefSeq and is a predicted model, not a curated record.